UGUGUGUGUGUGUGUGUGUGUGUGUGUGUGUGCUCACGCAUGCUCUCUCUCUUUCUCUCUCUCUCUCUCUCACACACACAUACACACACACACACACAACACACA
This 105-nucleotide microRNA precursor is filed under the name Marmota monax (woodchuck). The record is from RNAcentral. Lineage: Eukaryota; Metazoa; Chordata; Mammalia; Rodentia; Sciuridae.